UGCCAGCCGCCGCGGUAAUACCGGCAGCCCAAGUGAUGGCCGAUAUUAUUGGGCCUAAAGCGUCCGUAGCUGGCCGGACAAGUCCGUUGGGAAAUCCGCGCGCUCAACGCGCGGGCGUCCAGCGGAAACUGUCCGGCUUGGGGCCGGAAGACCUGAGGGGUACGUCCGGGGUAGGAGUGAAAUCCUGUAAUCUCGGACGGACCGCCUGUGGCGAAAGCGCCUCAGGAAGACGGACCCGACAGUGAGGGACGAAAGCCAGGGUCUCGAACCGGAUUAGAAACCCGAGUAGUCC
Molecule: ribosomal RNA, 292 nt
Filed under: uncultured bacterium
Lineage: Bacteria
Description: partial 16S ribosomal RNA
Rfam family: Archaeal small subunit ribosomal RNA
Source: RNAcentral